AACCACUUAUGCAAUUCAUAAGCUGGAGGAAAAGAAACCAACCGGGAUUGCCUUAGUAACGGCGAGUGAAGCGGCAAAAGCUCAAAUUUGAAAUCUGGUACCUUCGGUGCCCGAGUUGUAAUUUGGAGAGGGCAACUUUGGGGCCGUUCCUUGUCUAUGUUCCUUGGAACAGGACGUCAUAGAGGGUGAGAAUCCCGUGUGGCGAGGAGUGCGGUUCUUUGUAAAGUGCCUUCGAAGAGUCGAGUUGUUUGGGAAUGCAGCUCUAAGUGGGUGGUAAAUUCCAUCUAAAGCUAAAUAUUGGCGAGAGACCGAUAGCGAACAAGUACAGUGAUGGAAAGAUGAAAAGAACUUUGAAAAGAGAGUGAAAAAGUACGUGAAAUUGUUGAAAGGGAAGGGCAUUUGAUCAGACAUGGUGUUUUGUGCCCUCUGCUCCUUGUGGGUAGGGGAAUCUCGCAUUUCACUGGGCCAGCAUCAGUUUUGGUGGCAGGAUAAAUCCAUAGGAAUGUAGCUUGCCUCGGUAAGUAUUAUAGCCUGUGGGAAUACUGCCAGCUGGGACUGAGGACUGCGACGUAAGUCAAGGAUGCUGGCAUAAUGGUUAUAUGCCGCCCGUCUUGAAACACGGACCAAGGAGUAG
RNAcentral lists this ribosomal RNA (634 nucleotides) under Saccharomyces cerevisiae (brewer's yeast). RNAcentral describes it as "eukaryotic LSU rRNA". It matches the Rfam family "Eukaryotic large subunit ribosomal RNA", at positions 27 to 676 of the family's 3401-position model. The record is from RNAcentral. Lineage: Eukaryota; Fungi; Ascomycota; Saccharomycetes; Saccharomycetales; Saccharomycetaceae.